CGGACGGAGCAGGAACUGGAGGGCAGGACUCUGUUUACAAAACAGCUGCCCGCUUUGGGUCAUCUUACUGCAGCAUUUCGGCUCCCGCGGAGGGAAAAUAGAUAAAAUCUUCUCCGGAGGAAUUAAAGUCCAACCUGCUCUUCCCGAUUUCAUCAUUAAAGCUUUUAAGCGCCAAAGCUGUCUUCCUUUUCGAUGAAACUUCACGCAUCACGGACGCCGCAUGCCAGCCAGUCCUCAUGGCGUCAACGUCCCAAAGUGUCUGGGGAGGGGCGGAGGUGGUUCCCAGAUGCCUGAAGGAGCGGUCCGCCAUGUGUACACCCCCCGGUGACCUUAAGAUGAAGGAGAAUCACGUCAGGUCUGGCGUGGCGAGAACUCGGGAAAAACAGCCCGGGCGUGGUCUGCUGGUGCCACAGAACCGGAGGAAUCAGUGAGACGGGCCACCGGCGUCCCUGAAACGGCAG
This is a long non-coding RNA of Brienomyrus brachyistius, 461 nucleotides long. RefSeq lists it as uncharacterized. The record is from RefSeq and is a predicted model, not a curated record. The transcript is spliced from 3 exons. NCBI's taxonomy places the organism in Eukaryota, Metazoa, Chordata, Actinopteri, Osteoglossiformes, Mormyridae.